GGGAUCGCAAGACCUUGCGCGAAUGGAGCGGCCGAUGGCAGAUUAGGUAGUUGGUGAGGUAAAGGCUCACCAAGCCUUCGAUCUGUAGCUGGUCUGAGAGGACGACCAGCCACACUGGGACUGAGACACGGCCCAGACUCCUACGGGAGGCAGCAGUGGGGAAUUUUGGACAAUGGGCGAAAGCCUGAUCCAGCCAUGCCGCGUGCAGGAUGAAGGCCUUCGGGUUGUAAACUGCUUUUGUACGGAACGAAACGGCCUUUUCUAAUAAAGAGGGCUAAUGACGGUACCGUAAGAAUAAGCACCGGCUAACUACGUGCCAGCAGCCGCGGUAAUACGUAGGGUGCAAGCGUUAAUCGGAAUUACUGGGCGUAAAGCGUGCGCAGGCGGUUAUGUAAGACAGUUGUGAAAUCCCCGGGCUCAACCUGGGAACUGCAUCUGUGACUGCAUAGCUNGAGUACGGUAGAGGGGGAUGGAAUUCCGCGUGUAGCAGUGAAAUGCGUAGAUAUGCGNAGGAACACCGAUGGCGAA
RNAcentral lists this ribosomal RNA (528 nucleotides) under Variovorax sp. S13P8. RNAcentral describes it as "bacterial SSU rRNA". It matches the Rfam family "Bacterial small subunit ribosomal RNA", at positions 200 to 719 of the family's 1533-position model. The record is from RNAcentral. Lineage: Bacteria; Pseudomonadati; Pseudomonadota; Betaproteobacteria; Burkholderiales; Comamonadaceae.